GACGGAGGGGGCAAGCGUUGUUCGGAAUUAUUGGGCGUAAAGAGCUCGUAGGCGGUGUGUCGCGUCGGCCGUGAAAACCUGCAGCUUAACUGUGGCUUGCGGUCGAUACGGGCAUCACUGGAGUUCGGCAGGGGAGACUGGAAUUCCUGGUGUAGCGGUGAAAUGCGCAGAUAUCAGGAGGAACACCGGGUGGCGAAGGCGGGUCUCUGGGCCGAUACUGA
RNAcentral lists this ribosomal RNA (221 nucleotides) under uncultured bacterium. RNAcentral's name for it is "partial 16S ribosomal RNA". It matches the Rfam family "Bacterial small subunit ribosomal RNA", at positions 524 to 743 of the family's 1533-position model. The record is from RNAcentral.